Molecule: ribosomal RNA, 253 nt
Filed under: uncultured bacterium
Lineage: Bacteria
Description: partial 16S ribosomal RNA
Rfam family: Bacterial small subunit ribosomal RNA
Source: RNAcentral
UACGUAGGGGGCAAGCGUUAUCCGGAUUUACUGGGUGUAAAGGGAGCGCAGACGGCAGUGCAAGUCUGGAGUGAAAGCCCGGGGCCCAACCCCGGAACUGCUCUGGAAACUGUGCGGCUAGAGUACUGGAGGGGCAGGCGGAAUUCCUAGUGUAGCGGUGAAAUGCGUAGAUAUUAGGAGGAACACCAGUGGCGAAGGCGGCCUGUUGGACAGUAACUGACGUUGAGGCUCGAAAGCGUGGGGAGCAAACAGG